GUCCAGCUAUCGAGUCCCAAAUAGGACGAAACACGCGUCCUGGAU
Schistosoma rodhaini is the source of this 45-nucleotide non-coding RNA. The record is from Rfam. Lineage: Eukaryota; Metazoa; Platyhelminthes; Trematoda; Strigeidida; Schistosomatidae.